Molecule: long non-coding RNA, 457 nt
Organism: Meriones unguiculatus (Mongolian gerbil)
Lineage: Eukaryota; Metazoa; Chordata; Mammalia; Rodentia; Muridae
Exons: 3
Source: RefSeq, a predicted model, not a curated record
UGAAAUUCUGUCUCGGUCAGCAGAGCUCUAUGGGAUAUGGGCCUGUCGCUGUUCCUGCAGCCUCAGGGACUAGAUCGCAGCUGGACCGACAGGAGCAAGCUGUGAGUUGUUUGCUGCGGCAAGGAGUAACCGCUCAGCCACGCACGGAGGGGAAGGCAGAACUGGGGUUGUGGAUGGCACUUCCUGCCCACAGGUCUGGUGCAAUAUGAGCUGGCAAGUGACGGAAGGGACCACGGUGGCAGACUGGGGGAGAAGCUGAAUAGGAAGGAGAAAGGCUGCGUGGGAGGUACCCGGAGCUGCCUGAGCCUGAAUGCAGCUCCCUAUCUGUAGCACUGAGAUGAUCAGGAGUGCAGAGACCAGAGAUUAAUGGGAGAGCAAGCUGGCAGCAGAUAAAAUCCUGGUACCACCCUGUCACCUCAGCCUAGAGGCAGGGAGCGCGGCCAAGACACUCACCAAA